Gavialis gangeticus (Gharial) is the source of this 1243-nucleotide long non-coding RNA. RefSeq lists it as uncharacterized. NCBI's taxonomy places the organism in Eukaryota, Metazoa, Chordata, Crocodylia, Gavialidae. The record is from RefSeq and is a predicted model, not a curated record. The transcript has 2 exons.
GGGUGGAUCAGUGGCUCUCACCUCUGCCGUCAAUAGCCCACAGAAAAUAUUUCACCAGCAAUGCUUAGGGGAACAGCUUCUUUCAGGAGAAGAGUCAAGAAUAGAAUGGACAUGGAGCAUUAGUUCUUGGAUGAGUCCCUGUGGUGUAUGCAUGGGAAGGAACACAGGAGAAAGUUUUGCUGCUGCUACCAGGUUUGUACCUGUUCUUCAAAUCAAGCAACAUGUCUAGAGCUGUCAGUUUGGCUCCUUUCACCAGCAUUAAACACCACUAUAAAACACCAAAGCCUAGUGCUAGGACUAAAGUGGAACAUUUACCAGCUUCCUUGGAAGAGACAGGAUUCUUCUUCUGUGUAUUUGUACAAGUCAAAAAAAGCUAUUUUUUAAUAUGAACACACCACAGAUAUUUGACUUGACCCAUCCUCAAUUCAUACACUAGGGAAAGCACAUGAAAUGUGUGUUCUGUUCCCACUUGAAAGAGAUCUUUCUUUGGAGUUAUCCUUUAAUGUCAGCCUCAAACAAUUGGCAGGGCAUUUCUUAUUCCAGUGUGGAGAGAUCAGCGGGACCCUGUGAAAGAUAAUGCAGGAUUCCAACAUAAUCAUGGGUGCUUGUAUAAGGAGAAUCGGUGACUCUGUUCCCCCCCUUUGCGACGUGGCAUUUUUGCAUACCCAUGAGAGCGCUCCCUUCCUCGGGGAUCUCAAAGGUUGGGGGGCUUUGAACUCCACUUCAAAGCUGGGGGCUUGAAAUGAGGUAUUUGUAAACCCAAAGGAACAGCAAAUAUUUGCAGGAACUGAUUAGCCCCCUCACCACCUUGAUGGGCAACUGUACAAGAUGGCUGGACAGAGUUCAGCAAGCUUUGAAGUGUACCUUGAAAGUUCACAGGGUCUCUUUAGAUCUGUACAAUACUUACAUUUUCCAUAGAAACUCAAGAGGACAACUUCUUGUUCAGCUUUGUGCAGCCUGUCAGCUUUUUCUGGUCAGGUAUAAAUGGUAAAAGUCAAGAGCUGAAUUCUGUUACUGAUGCUAAUGUAAAUUCAGAGUCACUCCAAUUAAUCAGUAGGGUUACUCCAGGUUCACACCAGUUGUUUUGUAUACUGAGAAUGGAACCUACCCCAUUGUUGUUCUAGCUGGUUUGAUUUACGUAUGGAAAUAGGACUGGAAGGGGACUCUUGAGUUGCUGAGUCGAGUCCUUUGUUGUCAAAGACAGUAUCACAUAAUCACUUUAAUAAAUGUAUUAACUUCUAGC